GACGAACGCUGGCGGCGUGCCUAAUACAUGCAAGUAGAACGCACAGUUUAUACCGUAGCUUGCUACACCAUAGACUGUGAAUUGCGAACGGGUGAGUAACGCGUAGGUAACCUGCCUGGUAGCGGGGGAUAACUAUUGGAAACGAUAGCUAAUACCGCAUAAUAUUAAUUAUUGCAUGAUAAUUAAUUGAAAGGUGCAAUUGCACCACUACCAGAUGGACCUGCGUUGUAUUAGCUAGUAGGUGAGGUAACGGCUCACCUAGGCGACGAUACAUAGCCGACCUGAGAUGGUGAUCGGCCACACUGGGACUGAGACACGGCCCAGACUCCUACGGGAGGCAGCAGUAGGGAAUCUUCGGCAAUGGACGAAAGUCUGACCGAGCAACGCCGCGUGAGUGAAGAAGGUUUUCGGAUCGUAAAGCUCUGUUGUAAGAGAAGAACGGGUGUGAGAGUGGAAAGUUCACACUGUGACGGUAUCUUACCAGAAAGGGACGGCUAACUACGUG
Molecule: ribosomal RNA, 505 nt
Filed under: uncultured bacterium
Lineage: Bacteria
Description: partial 16S ribosomal RNA
Rfam family: Bacterial small subunit ribosomal RNA
Source: RNAcentral